Molecule: long non-coding RNA, 8096 nt
Filed under: Malus domestica (apple)
Lineage: Eukaryota; Viridiplantae; Streptophyta; Magnoliopsida; Rosales; Rosaceae
Description: long non-coding RNA (MDOM_LNC009187)
Source: RNAcentral
AAUUAAGUCCGUUUAAAUUAACCUUUAAAUUCUCCUUAAGUUAUUGAAUUGGAUGGGAAAGAGCAUACUACAAUUCAAGCAUUCUUCAAAAUUUUUUUACGUGAACAACACAAUAAAGAUAGAAUCAAAGAUCAUUAAGCAUUAUGAAAACUAUAAGUAUUGACGAGGCAUUCGUUACUAUGAUAAGCAUGAAACUCCUGCCAAGAAUUUAUUUAACGCGAUCGUUUAUAAGCGACCUCCACUACUUGUGAAUAUAAGUUUGUAACUAUUAGGUGAAACUCCCUUAUACUCUAGCAUCAUAUUCAUGCAUGCAAACUAAGUGUGCACUCUUAAUAAACAUACACGAAUAAGUUAUCAAUUAAGCAGUUAAACAAAUUGAAUUCACAACUUAUGAAAUCACAACUGAAGGUAAUCAAAUCAUAUUGCAAGCAUGAACAUGGUUUCGAAUUCCCCCUAGCUAAGGGGGGUUUAGUUCCUCAUACUCACAAAACAAAGAUAAACAAAUUUAGACAUUGAAAACAAAAGAAUGAAAACACCUAAAAACGCUCCAACAAUCCAACUUGAAUGGCAAGCAUGUCCAAGGGUCCUCAUUCUUUUCUUUGUUACGGCACAAGGUGUGGUUUGAUGGAUGAGUGGUAAAUUAUGGUGGUGGAUGGAUAUAGGUGAGUUAUGGUGAAGGGUGGAUGGGUGGAUUGUGUUCUCCCGGGCAAGGAAUGAAAGUGUAAGUGUAUGGAGUUGUGAGAUGUGAAUGUAGUGUCUUUUGAUGGAUCUUUUCUCCUCCCCCUUGUUAUGGUGAAAGGUGGAUGUAUUUAUAGGCUAGGGAGAGGACCACCAUCUAAUUAAGGUGGUAGUGGUGAAUGUUGUGGUAAUGAGUGGAUGUAAUAGGUGUAGUGGGUGAGUGUUUGGUAAUGAGUGGAUGUAAACGGUGUAGUGGAUGGAUGUUUGGUAAUGAGUGGAUGUAAUGGGUGUAGUGGAUGAGUGUUUGGUAAUGAGUGGAUGUAAUGGGUGUAGUGGAUGGAUGUUUGGUAAUGAGUGGAUGUAAAUGGUGUAGUGGAUGGAUGUUUAGUAAUGAGUGGAUGUAAUAGGUGUAGUGGAUGGAUGUUUAGUAAUGAGUGGAUGUAAUAGGUGUAGUGGAUGGAUGUUUGGAGUUGUAGGUCAACACACUUGCACACACACAUGCUGAUUUCUAGCCUUCUAAUCUUCAAAAACGUCCAUCCUCAUGUCUCCAUGCUUGCACUAUCCAAUCUUGGCCCAAAAAUGCUCCAAAGUGCUCCAAAUAGCACUUUGUUGCCAACUUUGUUAUUUGAACCUACAAACACACGCAAAAUAGCUUAAAGUACUAAAAUAACUAGAAUUAAACUAAGUAAAUGCCAAGAAACAAGCUCACUAAGUUGCAUAAACAUGCUCCUAUCAAAUUCCCCCACACUUAGCUUUUGCUAAUUCUCGAGCAAAACAAAAGAAACAAAACGAAACAAAACAAACAAAACACAACCUAACCUUCCAACAUUUGCCUCAGGGAUUUCCAAUGCACAUGACAUGUUAAAAAUCAUCAUUUCCAUUGAGUUUGGUUAUCUUCACACUUGAGCACAAACUUAAUCACAAUCACUACUUACUAGUUCAUAAUUAACCAAUUAAAACAAUGUUUUGAAUGUAGUAACAUGCCUUAGAGAAUUUGCUCAAUUCCUUACAAGAUACUCCCUAUUUUCACACACAUUUUCUGACUACACACCCUACACUAGUAUAUGUGAGAAGAUUAAUGUAAACACGAAAGACUAGGACUCACAUAUGUUAUAACAAAGAAAGCAAUUUUCUGGAGUUAUUAAGCAUGUUUAGAUAUGAUAUCAUGAAUGGAAUGCUACUACUUAGAUGCGAGAACCAGUGACACCAUAUGCUCAUACCAAUUUCGAACUCCACAAAUUGAAACACACAACACUCAAGAUUGAAGUCAAGGGUUGUAACAGGGCUUAGGGGUAAUGGCUAAUAAAGAAAGGAUAGGAAUAACAAACGUUCUUAAAGCGAUAGCAAGCAAAGCAAUGAAAUAGACACUUGGAAUUCACUUUAGAAUACAGAAUCAACUUUUAAAUACAAAGGGAAGAUUCAUGCAACACUUAGGGCCGAAUUCAAUGUUUUGGACCCUUUUUUUAACAAACUUUUUUCUUUUCACUCUUUUUUUUUUCUUUUCUACCCGUGCCUUAUUAAGGACUUUGGCACACACACACACAAGAAUCACUUCCCCCACACUUGCUUUCUGCAAUACAUUGAUAAAAAAUGAGUUCAUUUUAAGUCAUGCUUUACUAUGCUUCAAGAACAAGGGUAUGGAUGGUCCUAAAACUAGGUUAGGUAAGGAUAGUGUGGAUUAACAAAGAACAUAGGCUUAACAAGGCUCAACGGGGUUAAACUUAAACACAUAAUGAAAUAGGGGCACGGCAAUUUGGCUUUGGUGGUCACUACACAACUUUAUCUUGAGAAUGUGUUAUGCAAAUCAAUAGCAUGUUUUGAAUGAAAUAGGCAUAAGUUCUAGCAUUUGGAACUAAAUGAUGAAACGCCUUCUAAGUAGCAACCAAGCAAAGAAUAAUGAGAUCAUGCAACGACUUUAGAAAACAAUGAUGCACAGAUUAUUAACUCUCCAAAUAAACGUUUAGGCUCAAGUCUCACAAGGUUAUAGCAUACAUUUGAGUUCCUUCUUUCAAGCAUGUUACAAAACAGAUUUUUCCUUUAUGAUUGCAUGUGAAUUCAUAAAUUAUAACCACAACCAAGCAUACACCAAAGAGUAAAUCAAAUUUUCAUCCAUGUUUAUAACUCUCUUUAACAAUCAUGUAAUUAAAAACCAAAUCCACAUCAUUGUGUUGGAAGGUACCCUAAGACACAAAUAAACAUACAAAAACAACUCUUUUUGGGUUUUUCAAAACAAUUUUUCAAAUUUUUAUGAGAUUUUUGGAAACACUCCAAAACAGCUUAAAAACACUUAAAACAGCAAGGAACAACACUAGAAGUAAUGGGUGAUAAACUCCUACGAAUUUCAUGCAAAACAAUGGUUACCCCCCACACUUAAAUCAAACAUUGUCCUCAAUGUUUCAAGCAUAAACUCACACAAAAAACAAGCAAACAAACAAACAACGAAUAAACAUGACAAUUAUGGCAAAGUAAAAACCAGACAGUAGAGUUUAAGAACGCAAAUCUGGUUUUGGAAAUAGAUGAUCUUGUUGUCUUUCCACAGCUUUGAUUUCGAACUGGUUUGGAAUUCUGAGCGAGGAAUAUGAGAGUUCCUUGGUUUCAAAUCAGACUCCUUCUGCUGGGUUGAUUUGAUUGUGCAGUCUGCAUUCUUCUCUGCUUGUUUCUUCUGCAUGGUAGGCAGGCACGAGGUAGAGGUGUUGGUCUGUUUCUUUCUUCAAUCUUUCCAAGUGCCCACCUCUUGCUUUCUUUCUCCUUGUCCCUAGCUGAAGAUGAAUUGGCAAAUUAUCUCCACAUGCUUCGAGGUAUCAUUUUCACUUCCCUUAUCUGUUCCUCAGGCAGAUGUGGUAGACGAAGAGGAAGCAUAAAAUGAUGAAGAUGAGUACUCGAGAGCAAGGCUAGGUAAGCAAUCAGGAAGGGGUUCCAGGCAGUCGGUUCCAGAUCGAAAGAUUGAUACCAAGUGUUGGCUGAUUGCUCUCUUUCUCCUUGUCCCAAAACAACGAUAAGGAGAAUGACAGGGAGAAAACAUGAUAUGAGAUACUUUUGCUUUCAACCUUCAUGAUAUGAAAUACUUUUACUUUGGAUGAGUUGUUUGCAGAGGUACCCUAAGGAAUAAGGAACACUGAGUGACUUGAGAGGGUUUGUUGGAAAGGCAUUCUUGGAGAAGAAAAAGGAUUAUGUAUGUUUGCCUUGCAAUGGAGGGUGAAGGGUGACAUUUAUAGGAAUUAAUAACUAGUACUAUUCUUUCACUCUUGUCAGCAACCGUUGAAUGAUUUAAUAGUAAACUUUACGUGUUUUCUACUUCACAAGAGAUCUUCGACAGAUUGCCCGUAAUUUUCGCAAGGCUGAGUGUGCAUGUGAUAGGCGCUGACACGUCUGGAAAAGCAAGUGCCUCUCCGAUAUUUGGAAUCGACGCUUAGAUAAACUGCCCGUGAUUUCUGCAAAGUUGACUUUGCAUGUGACAGAUGCUGACACGUCUGGAAAAGCAAAUGCCUCUCCGAUAUCUGGAAUCGGCGCUUCGACAAACUGCCCGUGAUUUCCGCAAAGCUGACUCUGCAUGUGACAGAUGCUAACACGUCUAGAAAAGCAGAUGCCUCUUCGAUUUCUGAGCUUGCCUCUUCGAUCUCUGAAAUCCCGUCGAGUGCAGAGGUUGCAUGUGACAAGUGCGGACAAAUCUGGAAAGAAGAUUGGCCGUGGUUUCUGAGCAAGCCCAGCUUUUGAGAAAGCUAGCGCCUCUUCGAUUUUUGAGUUGGCCUCUUCGAUUUCUGAGCUCGCCUCUUCGAUCUCUGAAAUCCUGUCGAGUGCUGAUUUUUAUAGAGGUACGCAGGACGUUCAAAGCACACUUGAAUUUCUGCUUGUAGAAACUCCCUUCUUGCACUUCUACGAUCUUGACUUGUCCGACCUUAUCUUUCUUUAACACCUCUGAAAAUGUCUGGCCCAUCCGACCAUCGUUUUGACUUGAACCUUGGUGAAGAGGCAGUCCCGCCUUCUCCAGACAACAUAUGGUGCCCAUCUUUCAUAUAUUCUACUGGUCCCCUUACUGUUGGGGAUUCGGUGAUGAAGAAUGAUAUGACAGCUGCGGUGGUGGCCAAGAACCUUGUCACUCCUAAAGAUAACAGACUACUUGUCAAACGGUCUAAUGAGUUGGUUGUUAAGGAUUCUCUGGCUCUCAGUGUACAGUGUGCAGGUUUUGUGUCUAAUAUGGCCCAACGCCUCUUUGCUCGAACCCGUCAAGUUGAAUCAUUGGCGGCUGAAGUGAUGAGUCUCAAACAGGAGAUUAGAGGGCUCAAGCAUGAGAAUAAACAGUUGCACAGGCUUGCACAAACAGUUGCACAGGCUUGCACAUAACUAUGCUACAAACAUGAAGAGGAAGAUUGACUAGAUGCAGGAAUCUGAUGGUCAGAUUUUACUUGAUCAUCAGAGGUUUGUAGGUUUGUUCCAACAGCAUUUGCCUUCGUCUUCUGGGGCUGUACCGCUUAAUGAAGCUCCAAAUGAUCAACCUCUGAUGCUUCCUCCUUCUGGGGCUCCGCCGACUGCUGAGGCUCCGCCGACUACUGAGACUUCUCCUAAGCAGCCUUUGUGAAGGCUCCCUCUUGUAGCUUUUUUCUGCUUAAUGUUCCUUUUUUUUUAUGAAAAUGAAUGUAAAAAUACCUUGCAUAAUUGUCAGUGUUUUAAAAAUAAACUCACACAAAAAACAAUUAAACAAGCAACAAAUAAAAAUGAUAAUCAUGGAAAAUAAAACUGCAGAAAAGGGAAGGUUUUUAGAAACACAAAACUGAUUAUGGAGCGAUUCAAAAAUCUUCCUUAAUUGAAUACAUGGGUUGCCUCCCAAGAAGCGCUUGCUUUAACGUCUUCCAGCCGGACGAAACUUCCUUCUAAACUUGGAUAGGGCCCAUAACAUGGAAUUGAUCCUUGAAUGGACGGUGAUACUUGACGUGAUCCGGCAAUGGUUUAAAUUCUAGUGUAGGUGUCUGAAUCAUCAAAAUCAGCAAGUUAGUAUAUAAUAAAAUUGAAGUUGGAGAAGAUGGCUUAAUUGCUUGCUCCAACACAAACUCAAUUACGAACACCAUAUUUUUGAAGGUUGCAGGGAUAUGGGACUUGGCCAUUUGGUGUUUUGAGUGUUAUGACUUGUCCCGUGUCAUAAAAUCCAACUUCUUUAGGAAUUUUCAUCUCAAGUAUAUCUUCUUUGAUGAAUUCUAGACAUUCCCCAUCCACUUCUUGCUUUUGAUUAUUUGGAAAGGUUUUGAAGAUGACUUUCUCACCCUCUUCUUCCUUGGAUUGCAUGAUUCUGCAAGGAAUAAGGACAUUUGGUGAAACAGGGUCAAGACAAAUUGAAUUUAGGCUUACCUUGGUUGUAAUGGAAGGCAUAGAGGGCAUAUGGGGCUGCAGUAAAAGUGGUUCUUCCCUUGUCGUGGCCUUGUUAUUCUCCUCUUCUUCGAGCAGCAGUUGUUCAUCCAUGUUUUGGCUUGGUUUAGAUGUCUUGGGUUCACCUCCAACCUCCAUAGCACUUUCCAAAGUGAUAGCAUCAUGGAUUUCAAAAUCUUCCUUCAAAUUUUCAAUAGUUGAGUUGGAGAGUUCACUUUGCUCUUCAAUUUAUGCCAUGAACUCCAUAAUCUGCCCAAUUUGCUUCUCCAAUUCACCCGUCUUCUUGGCUUGAUUUUGCAUCUCUUUGUUUCCAUUUUCUACUUCCUUAUUCAAAGAGGUGAGUAACUUAUUAAACAUAUCAUUGUCCAAAGACGUACCUGAAUUGAAUUGGGUAGAUUGUUGUGGUGGCUGCAUAGGUCUUGAAUAUAACUCCUCUUCUUGCUGCCAAUACCCAUCUUGUUGGAAUUGUUGAGGUUCUCCCCACAUGUAAUCUGAAUAAUCUCUCCAAUCCGAAUUGUAAGUGUUGGAAAACAUGUUGUCCCAUGAUUGGCUAUGGCCUUGAUAACCCCAAGCAUCUUUAUUCGCAGCGAAUUGAGAACAUUGAUGAGUUGGAUAUCCUUGCCCAUAGGACACACCAUAUGUAGGGACACUUUGCAUUAUGGUCCCUUCGGCAUAUUGUGACAAUUGAGAAGUAAGUUUCGCCAAUUGAGCUUGAAUGGUAGCAAAAUCCAUGUCUUACUUCUCUAGUACCUGAAAUCAAGGAAACAAAACUAAAUCAAAUAUCAUAAGUAAAAAUAAAAGAAACAAAUAGAAACAAAGUCAGUAACUAAAACAAAAGACAUGAAAAAGAAACAACAGGGGAUUAGCAAAGUUGCUAAUCCCCGGCAACGGCGCCAAAAAUUUGAUGCGCAAAUUAACUUAACACACAAAUUAAACCCUCUUGUUGUCAAAUUGUAGUAUAAAUGCAAGUAGGGAUCGUUCUAAACCGGAGAUUAGGAGGGCUUGCUAAAACCUCUAAACUGACUUAAAAACAUAUAAACAAAAUUAAAAACACUAAACUAGACUCAAAGAACUUAAAACAAACUCAAAGGACUCAAAACAAGCUAAAAAUGCUCAAAUCUGCCUAAAAACACAAACUGGGCAGAUUUGGACUCUAACACACUUUUGGGACACCUAAAAACACAAAUCAAAACAGAUUUUGACUAAUAAAACACUUUAAAGUAAAGGGGGUUUUGGUUUUGAUGAAUUUGAAAACAAAACAAGUAAAUUAAAGAACUAAUGAAAUCUGCACGAAUUUGAGUAAAUUGAAUUGAUGGAAGGCUAGCUAGGAGGUUCUUCUCCACACAUGACAUACUUGCACAUAAACCAAUUUUCAGUUGUUCUUUCAAUCAAUCAUGAAACUCAACACCCCAGGUUAAUUAAGUCCGCUUAAAUUAACCUUCAAGUUCUCCUUAAGUUAUUGAAUUGGAUGGGAAAGCGCAUACAACAAUUCAAGCAUUCUUCAAAAGUUCUUUACGUGAACAGCACAAUAAAGAUACAAUCAAAGAUCAUUAAGCAUUAUGAAAACUAUAAGUAUUAACGAGGCAUUCGUUACUAUGAUGAGCAUGAAACUCCUGCCAAGAAUUUAUUUAACGCGAUCGUUUAUAAGCGACCUCCACUACUUAUGAAUAUAAGUUUGUAACUAUUAGGUGAAACUCCCUUAUACUCUAGCAUCAUAUUCAUGCAUGCAAACUAAGUGUGCACUCUUAAUAAACAUACAUGAAUAAGUUAUCAAUCAAGCAGUUAAACAAAUUGAAUUCACAACUUAUGAAAUCACAACUGAAGGUAAUCAAAUCAUAUUGCAAGCAUGCACAUGGUUUCGAAUUCCCCCUAGCUAAGGGGGGUUUAGUUCCUCAUACUCAUAAAGCAAAGAUAAACAAAUUUAGACAUUGAAAACAAAAGAAUGAAAACACCUAAAAACGCUCCAACAAUCCAACUUGAAUGGAAAACAUGUCCAAGGGUCCUCCUUCUUCUCUUUGUUGCGGCACAAGGUGUGGUUUGAUGGAUGAGUGGUAAAUUAU